UGUUAAUGCCUGCGUUCUUUUGAUAACACUGGGCCCAUGACUUCAUGCGCUCUUUAUUUUGAAAGUAGCAUUCCAAUAUGUAGCUGUAACUAUCAUCUGUCAUGAAAUAAUUGGGUACCAAAACCGAUAUUAAUGAUUUUAUUUCACCAACCAGAACCUCUUAUAUGUUGGUGUCCUUUCAGUUGGACAGAAUAAAUGUUACUGGAUAAUCAAUAUUUUUAUCAUCUAACACAUGGACUUGUGGUCAAUUCAAUGUCAUAGAGUCAGGGGUUGACAGCGAAGAUCAUUGUGAUGAACAACAUGAAUAGCAAUAAACUGAACAAGUACCACUGAGGAAGAAUGAUCAAAGUGAGCUGUAAUUCGUGAAGGACAGACUCCUUGCAUUUUGAUACUGCCACUAGUUUUAGGAGCUCGUAUAUUACAUUUACUAACAGAAUUUGCUAGAUUACUUCUGACAUUCAUAGUAGAAAAUAAUAAUUCGUCAUAUAAAAGAAUUAGUUUUUAACUCUAAAUCUGCUUUUCGUGUAAAAAAAAUCUUCCGUUUUCUUAAAUUGUAGAUCCUUUACU
Molecule: long non-coding RNA, 567 nt
Organism: Zophobas morio
Lineage: Eukaryota; Metazoa; Arthropoda; Insecta; Coleoptera; Tenebrionidae
Exons: 3
Source: RefSeq, a predicted model, not a curated record